UACGUAGGGGGCAAGCGUUGUCCGGAUUUAUUGGGCGUAAAGAGCUCGUAGGCGGCUCGGUAAGUCGGAUGUGAAACCUCCAGGCUCAACCUGGAGACGCCAUCUGAUACUGCCGUGGCUUGAGUCCGGUAGAGGAGCAGGGAAUUCCUGGUGUAGCGGUGAAAUGCGCAGAUAUCAGGAAGAACACCCGUGGCGAAGGCGGUUCUCUGGGACGGUACUGACGCUGAGACGCGAAAGCGUGGGGAGCGAACAGG
Molecule: ribosomal RNA, 254 nt
Filed under: uncultured bacterium
Lineage: Bacteria
Description: partial 16S ribosomal RNA
Rfam family: Bacterial small subunit ribosomal RNA
Source: RNAcentral